GCCAGAGUAGCUCAGCUGGUUAGAGCGCCGCACUCAUAACGCGGAGGUCGGCGGUUCAAGUCCGCCCUUUGGUACCA
This 77-nucleotide transfer RNA is filed under the name Opitutia bacterium. RNAcentral describes it as "tRNA-Met". It matches the Rfam family "tRNA". From Rfam's summary of the family: Transfer RNA (tRNA) molecules are approximately 80 nucleotides in length. Their secondary structure includes four short double-helical elements and three loops (D, anti-codon, and T loops). Lineage: Bacteria; Pseudomonadati; Verrucomicrobiota; Opitutia. The record is from RNAcentral. RNAcentral also lists the same sequence under 1 other name.